RNAcentral lists this ribosomal RNA (460 nucleotides) under uncultured bacterium. Its description in RNAcentral is "partial 16S ribosomal RNA". It matches the Rfam family "Bacterial small subunit ribosomal RNA", at positions 338 to 795 of the family's 1533-position model. The record is from RNAcentral.
CCUACGGGUGGCAGCAGUGAGGAAUAUUGGUCAAUGGACGAGAGUCUGAACCAGCCAAGUCGCGUGAAGGAUGACUGCCCUAUGGGUUGUAAACUUCUUUUAUAUGGGAAUAAAAUGUUCCACGUGUGGGAUUUUGUAUGUACCUUAUGAAUAAGGAUCGGCUAACUCCGUGCCAGCAGCCGCGGUAAUACGGAGGAUCCGAGCGUUAUCCGGAUUUAUUGGGUUUAAAGGGAGCGUAGUUGGAAUGUUAAGUCAGUUGUGAAAGUUUGCGGCUCAACCGUAAAAUUGCAGUUGAAACUGGCGGUCUUGAGUGCGGUAGAGGUGGGCGGAAUGCGUGGUGUAGCGGUGAAAUGCAUAGAUAUCACGAAGAACUCCGAUUGCGAAGGCAGCUCACUGGACUGCAACUGACGCUGAGGCACGAAAGUGUGGGUAUCGAACAGGAUUAGAUACCCCUGUAGUC